This 71-nucleotide transfer RNA is filed under the name Eggerthella sp. CAG:298. It matches the Rfam family "tRNA". Rfam says of the family: Transfer RNA (tRNA) molecules are approximately 80 nucleotides in length. Their secondary structure includes four short double-helical elements and three loops (D, anti-codon, and T loops). Lineage: Bacteria; Bacillati; Actinomycetota; Coriobacteriia; Eggerthellales; Eggerthellaceae. The record is from Rfam by way of RNAcentral.
GCGGGUGUAGUUCAAUGGUAGAACUCCAGCCUUCCAAGCUGUUCCAUCGGGAGUGAGCUGCGAAACCCGCG